Long non-coding RNA from Peromyscus maniculatus bairdii (prairie deer mouse), 1715 nucleotides. RefSeq lists it as uncharacterized. The record is from RefSeq and is a predicted model, not a curated record. NCBI's taxonomy places the organism in Eukaryota, Metazoa, Chordata, Mammalia, Rodentia, Cricetidae.
CAGAAGAUUGUGGAGAGUUGAAAACAUACAAGGCAAACUGAUAACGUCUCAGGUUUUUUUUCUUUUUCUUUCUUUCUUUCUUUCUUUCUUUCUUUCUUUCUUUCUUUCUUUCUUUCUUUCUUUCUUUUUUUUUUUUUUAAGGAGGCUGUUCUAACAAAUAAGUAAACCAUCCCUCCUCCACCCAGAGAAUGUCAGGUAGUGAGCCUUGGGAACCAUGAAGGAAAUAAAGCCAGUUGCAUACCAUCAAGAGGAGAGGAGGACAUAACUGAGACUGGAUGACAAGGAAAUGUGAAGAUGAGUCCUGAAUAACAAGAGCUGACCAUGUAAAAAAUCGGGGAGAACAUUCCAGUAGGGAGCGCCUUGAGGAGUGCCUUUCUCCUUAUGAUGAGCCACCACAGCACAGAAACUUGCAAAGCUCGGCAGACGCACACCUAGGAACAGGGGUCUCCGAGCAUAACCUGGAUCCUCCCACCCACAUUUGAAAGCGAUUCUGGGCUGAAUGGAAGUGAACAUGCUACUAGCAUCUACCUCUGUUCCUGCAAUGAGGGGCUGCAGGGAGCAAGGAGGCAUUCGGUGGCCCUGCGACAUGCUGCACAAGCCACCUGCAGAGGCUGCGCCAUGCACUGAAGGUGAAUUGUACGGUACCACCACACUGGCCAUUUGACCCCAUCUGAAGGAUUUGUGACCUCCAAGAUAAUAUCAAGGUCAAACUAAUGGUCUGGCCUGUAAGUUUACCUGCUGCACAUUCUUCUCUAAGUGAGAAUUUCCUGAGGCUGAGGAAUUAGAGCUGUGAAGGGCUUAUUCUCUCUGCACUUUGCCUCCAGUGUGCCAGCACCACCUCUGUCCAAAGAUUCCAAUGCCUUUAAGUCACAAAGGGAUUGGUAGAUGAGUUUAACACUAUUGAUGCUAGUUUCUGAUUUUGUGUUUUUAUGAUGUGUGAGUGUGUAUGUCUCUGUGUGUGCCUGUGUGUUUCUUGUGCUUCUUCGUUUUUAUUCCUAUUUGUUUGUUUUAUUUUUGUUUGUUUUCUAAAGGCAAAGAGAAAGGUGUGGAGUCCUUAGAUCCUUAGUCCCCGGCUCAGGGUGCCUGGUUCUGCCUCUGUAGUAUUCCCAGUGCAGACUAUUAACUGGAAGAGCAGCCACAGCUGCUGAAUAGGCCCUCCAUGCAAAUACCAUACUAGCUAGUCAACCAGAGUGGCACCAUCAACUUAUAACUGUUGGAAGAUAAACAAAGAUACUCAGCAUCUACUGGGAUUUUAGCCACUAAGACUAGGAGUGGGAGGAAAGUAUGUGAUGGGUGUAAGGAUAGGGACCAGUGCCAGAUCAACUUAGAAAGACCUAUAGAUGGGGACCGUGGAGAAGGAAAAGCUGGGACACUGCUAGGGUCCACAGAUUUUAGAGAUUUUUAAAGCUGUGGAAGGUUGUGGUUAGGAGGUACAGAGGAUGGCAGGUAAAAGAAACAGGAAUGAGAGGGAACGUGUAUGAGUUGUGUGGGGAAAGAAUAAUAGAGUGUGCCCAAUCUUAGACUGCGUGAGGAAACCGAUCAAUCAUAAAAUGUAACUGAGCAAAUACAAUCAAAAGCAAAGCCACUGUGAGCUAUAUAUGCAAGGGUAGAAAUUAAAAAUAGCUAAUGAAAGAUUUUAAAUACUAAAAAUGACUAAAUUCACCAUAAUAUAAAAUUAAAAAGGGACAAGUAUAAUAAAAGUACGUUAGAUUAAA